This 468-nucleotide ribosomal RNA is filed under the name uncultured bacterium. RNAcentral describes it as "partial 16S ribosomal RNA". It matches the Rfam family "Bacterial small subunit ribosomal RNA", at positions 28 to 507 of the family's 1533-position model. The record is from RNAcentral.
GACGAACGCUGGCGGCGUGCUUAACACAUGCAAGUCGAACGGAAAGGCCCUGCUUUUGUGGGGUGCUCGAGUGGCGAACGGGUGAGUAACACGUGAGUAACCUGCCCUUGACUUUGGGAUAACUUCAGGAAACUGGGGCUAAUACCGGAUAGGAGCUCCUGCUGCAUGGUGGGGGUUGGAAAGUUUCGGCGGUUGGGGAUGGACUCGCGGCUUAUCAGCUUGUUGGUGGGGUAGUGGCAUACCAAGGCUUUGACGGGUAGCCGGCCUGAGAGGGGGACCGGCGACAAUGGGACUGAGAUACGGACCAGACGCCUACGGGAGGCAGCAGUGGAGAAUAUUGCACAAUGGGCGGAAGCGUGAUACAGCAACGCCGCGUGCGGGAUGACGGCCUUCGGGUUGUAAACCGCUUUCGCCGGUGACGAAGCGGGCGUGACGGUAAUUGGUAAAGAAGCACCGGCUAACUACGUG